This 2513-nucleotide long non-coding RNA is filed under the name Malus domestica (apple). Its description in RNAcentral is "long non-coding RNA (MDOM_LNC015009)". Lineage: Eukaryota; Viridiplantae; Streptophyta; Magnoliopsida; Rosales; Rosaceae. The record is from RNAcentral.
AAUUUCAAGAACUCGAAUUACUUGGUCCGCGGGCAUUGGAGGAAGAGAUCCGAAGAGGAUCUCUUUCCUUAUUAUAGGCCACUGUUGUAUGGAGAUCGCAAACUAAUUUGGGUAAAAGUCAAAAAAAGGCAACUAAAAAAUAAGACAAAUUCACUUGAGUUUCUUCUGCUACUCUCUACUUGUUUGUACCUGUACUACAAAACAAUUAAAGAGACAGAGAAGGCAAAAUAUGAAAGGUUUGUAGGAGGCAAAGAUUGUAAUUUUGCAAAAUAUAUGUGGAGAUACACUUGCCAUUUGUAAAUUUCAUUAAUUGAGCACUUAUUACUAUAAAUUUGAAAAUAAAAGAACAUUUUUUAGAUCAUACUUCUUCUUUUCUAUGCUUUUCUCCGAUCAUUGACAACAGUUUUUUAAAAAAUCACUUUUUUUGUUCUAAAUUUUUUAUUAAGUUAUUGCUUUUAAAAGCAUCAGAAUUCCAAACCGACCUAAAAAUAAUUUGUUUUUAUGUUUACCUAAUUUUCUGGGUAAUUUGGAAGUAUCUUAUUGGUCAAGUUGUUAUCAUAGUUGAUGAUGAUUAGUGUAGCAUGUAAUAUCCGGCCACGUGUUCGAAGUUCAGAAAGUUAUCUUAUCCUCUCCAUCAAUCAUCACCAACCAUUGUCCCAUAUGCGUGGCCAAAUCUUCUUUUUACAAAUCCCAAGUGAAAAAAAAAAAACAAAAACAAAUGAAAAUGCAUGGAAUCGGAAAUAGAGAAUAUUUACUAUUACUAGCUAUUAUUAUAGGGAAAGAGAUCAUCUUCGAAUUUCUUCCUCCAAAGUCUGUGUAUCAAGUGAUCUGUACCCUUGAAAUUUGAUCCAACGACCCUUGAAAUCCAAGCCCCUGAAAGGUAUAAUAAUUUUUUACUGUUGGUUGGUUAAAUUUCAAGAACUUGAAUUACUUGGUCCAUGGGCUUUGGAGGAAGAGAUCCGGAGAGGAUCUCUUUCCUUAUUAUAGGCCACUAUUGUACAGAGAUCAUAAACUGAUUUGGGUAAAAGUCAAAAAAAGGCAACUAAAAAAUAAGACAAAUUCACUUGAGUUUUCUUUGCUACUCUCUACUUGUUUGUACGUGUACUACAAAACAGUUAAAGAGACAGAGAAGGCAAAAUAUGAAAGGUUUGUAGAGAGAAGUGAUCAGAGGCUUUUAAUUUAACUCAUGAUUCAUCUGUACUUUCAAAGGGAAGGAAUAUUUUUUGUUCGAGAUUUCGUAGUCCAAUGAGCAGUCUAUUCAUGUCGAUAUUGUUUCAAUUCAAUCACAUUUAUGAUUUGACAAAUGUUAGAUUUUACUGCAUAGGUAUUUAGAAGCUUAAUUGUUUAAUAUAAGUUGUUGAGGAGAACACGAUCUGAUAGGAGAAUAUUUUUGCUAACCACUCUCAAGUUGGUGAUGCUCACCACGUUCUUAUUUAUUACCGUUAUAUAAAUUUAAAUUUUGAAAUUUGUGUAGUGUAUAGUCACAAAUUUUAAAAUUUAAACUUAUCCGACGGUAAUAAGUAGGGUGUUGAAUAUUACCACCACUUGAGAGUGAUGAGCAAAAAAGCACCCAUCUGAUACCAUGUCAAGAUUUUAGAGUCUCCUUAAUUACGCUAAUAUUGUCUCCUUAAUUACGCUGAUAUUGUCUCAACCUAACUACUUAUGCAGUUUAACAUCUGAUGAAUUGUAUCAUGAAAAACCUUUGUGUAAUUAAAAGUGAACCAUUCAAUUUAUAUCUAUAAUUUAUUAUGUCAAGCUUCCAACAUGGGAUUAAAUUGUUCAACAUUUUAAUUUUUACUGCAUUUGUUUUGAUCAUUAAUUUAUGAUAUUUUGGAAAUUUGUUGCAUGGUAGUAGAGUGAACAAGAAAAUAAAAAGACAAAUAGGUGGGUGUUAAGAAGAUUCUGAUACUGUUAUAAGUUUACACGAGAAAACAAGAAUUUAUUUUCAACUGUUAAUAUUUCUUGAUAUCUCAAGCAUCUACAGCCUUUUAACUGUUAAUAAAGUUCCUAGCUACUUCAAGGAUCGAUUAGCAAUGUUGAUAUUUGUUUAGUUAUUAAAUAAAAAAGUUUGGGGGCUUAUAGAGGUAGAUUGUCAAAAGAGAGGCAUAGAGAGGAUUAAACUUUUGAAAGUUAUAGAGAUUUUACUUAAAAUUAAAAGUGUGAAACGUGCGGAUAGAAAUGUGCAGACUGAUUAUAGAUUCAAAUAUAUGAUGCAGUGUGACAAAGAGAGUGUAUCAAACGAUAACCUCAUUGCAUAAGCAACUAGCCUCUUAGCCCUUUGUUUAUGAGGGAAAAAAAGGUUGAAAAUUUUGGCAUAAAAAGACCAGGUAUCCCAACGAAAUCGUAAAAUGGUUUCGAGUCACUGUUCUCUUUGAAAUAGCGGGUCAUGGGCCUAAAUAGACACCGAAGCUCAUUUGCACAACUUAUAUUUUGCUAUCGUAUUUGCGCAUCAAUUUGAUCUUUGAUCCUUUAUUUCAUCUAAUCAACCUCAUUAUCAAUUACAAUGUUAUAAA